GCCUUAUUGGUUCAGUGGCAGAAUUCUUGCCUUCCAUGCAGGAGACCCAGGCUGGAAUCCUGACCAAUGCA
This 71-nucleotide transfer RNA is filed under the name Loxodonta africana (African savanna elephant). It matches the Rfam family "tRNA". Rfam says of the family: Transfer RNA (tRNA) molecules are approximately 80 nucleotides in length. Their secondary structure includes four short double-helical elements and three loops (D, anti-codon, and T loops). Further hydrogen bonds mediate the characteristic L-shaped molecular structure. tRNAs have two regions of fundamental functional importance: the anti-codon, which is responsible for specific mRNA codon recognition, and the 3' end, to which the tRNAs corresponding amino acid is attached (by aminoacyl-tRNA synthetases). tRNAs cope with the degeneracy of the genetic code in two manners: having more than one tRNA (with a specific anti-codon) for a particular amino acid; and 'wobble' base-pairing, i.e. permitting non-standard base-pairing at the 3rd anti-codon position. The record is from Rfam by way of RNAcentral. Lineage: Eukaryota; Metazoa; Chordata; Mammalia; Proboscidea; Elephantidae.